RNAcentral lists this ribosomal RNA (1153 nucleotides) under marine metagenome. RNAcentral describes it as "bacterial LSU rRNA". It matches the Rfam family "Bacterial large subunit ribosomal RNA", at positions 1471 to 2606 of the family's 2925-position model. The record is from RNAcentral.
GACGCAGGAAGGUAGCUCAACCGCGGCGAUGGUAGACCGCGGCCAAGGUUGUAGGGCGAGAUGUAGGCAAAUCCGCAUCUCAUAUGCCUGAGAACUGACGGGGAGCCGACUUAGGCGAAGUGAGUGAUCCUAUGCUGCCGAGAAAAGCCUCUAGCGAGUGUGCAAGCCGCCCGUACCCCAAACCGACACAGGUGGUCAGGUAGAGAAUACCGAGGCGAUCGAGUGAACUGUGGUUAAGGAACUCGGCAAAUUGCCCCCGUAACUUCGGGAGAAGGGGGGCCGCGGCUGGUGAUGGGACUUGCUCCCUGAGCUGGCUACGGCCGCAGAGACCAGGUGGAAGCGACUGUUUACUAAAAACACAGGUCCAUGCAAAGUCGCAAGACGACGUAUAUGGACUGACGCCUGCCCGGUGCUGGAACGUUAAGGGGACCAGUUAGUUCUUCGGAGCGAAGCUGAGAACUUAAGCGCCAGUAAACGGCGGUGGUAACUAUAACCAUCCUAAGGUAGCGAAAUUCCUUGUCGGGUAAGUUCCGACCUGCACGAAUGGCGUAACGACUUCCACGCUGUCUCAACCGCAGACUCGGCGAAAUUGCACUACGAGUAAAGAUGCUCGUUACGCGUGGCAGGACGGAAAGACCCCGGGACCUUUACUACAGCUUGGUAUUGGUGGUCGGUUCGAUUUGUGUAGCAUAGGUGGGAGACUUGGAAGCCCGGACGCCAGUUCGGGUGGAGUCAUCGUUGAAAUACCACUCUGAUCGUAUUGGCUGUCUAACCUCGAUCCGUGAUCCGGAUUAGGGACAGUGCCUGGUGGGUAGUUUAACUGGGGCGGUUGCCUCCCAAAGAGUAACGGAGGCGCUCAAAGGUUCCCUCAGCCUGGUUGGCAAUCAGGUGUCGAGUGUAAGUGCACAAGGGAGCUUGACUGUGAGACUGACAGGUCGAGCAGGGACGAAAGUCGGAACUAGUGAUCCGGCGCCGGCAUGUGGAAGCGGCGUCGCUCAACGGAUAAAAGGUACCCCGGGGAUAACAGGCUGAUCUUGCCCAAGAGUCCAUAUCGACGGCAUGGUUUGGCACCUCGAUGUCGGCUCGUCGCAUCCUGGGGCUGGAGUAGGUCCCAAGGGUUGGGCUGUUCGCCCAUUAAAGCGGUACGCGAGCU